CAGCCGCCGCGGUAAUACGAAGGUCCCGAGCGUUGUUCGGAAUCACUGGGCGUAAAGGGAGCGUAGGCGGCGUGGUAAGUCAGAUGUGAGAUCCCGGGGCUCAACCCCGGAACUGCAUCCGAUACUGCCAUGCUAGAGGAUUGGAGAGGUAGCUGGAAUUCUUGGUGUAGCAGUGAAAUGCGUGGAGAUCAAGAGGAACACUCGUGGCGAAAGCGAGCUACUGGACAAUAACUGACGCUGAGGCUCGAAGGCCAGGGUAGCGAAAGGGAUUAGAUACCCCCGUAGUCCCUGUCUCUUAUAC
RNAcentral lists this ribosomal RNA (301 nucleotides) under uncultured bacterium. RNAcentral describes it as "partial 16S ribosomal RNA". It matches the Rfam family "Bacterial small subunit ribosomal RNA", at positions 509 to 807 of the family's 1533-position model. The record is from RNAcentral.